AGCAGCCGCGGUAAUUCCAGCUCCAAUAGCGUAUAUUAAAGUUGUUGCAGUUAAAAAGCUCGUAGUUGAAUUUCGGGAUUGACGUGACGGUCAUGCCUUAAGGGGUAUGAACUGUUACUGUUGAUUUCUCACCUUCUGGAGAAACUUGAUGUCCUUUAUUGGGUGUCUUGCGGAUCCAGGACCUUUACCUUGAAAAAAUUAGAGUGUUUAAAGCAGGCAUUUUUGCUCGAAUACAUUAGCAUGGAAUAAUAGAAUAGGACGGCAUGGUUCUAUUUUGUUGGUUUCUAGGAUCACCGUAAUGAUUAAUAGGGAUAGUUGGGGGCAUUAGUAUUCAAUUGUCAGAGGUGAAAUUCUUGGAUUUAUUGAAGACUAACUACUGCGAAAGCAUUUGCCAAGGAUGUUUUCAUUAAUCAAGAACGAAAGUUAGGGGAUCGAAGACGAUCAGAUACCGUCGUAGUCUUAACCAUAAACUAUGCCGACUAGGAAUCAGACGAUGUUGAUUUUUAAUGACUCGUUUGG
RNAcentral lists this ribosomal RNA (519 nucleotides) under uncultured Entrophospora. RNAcentral's name for it is "SSU rRNA". It matches the Rfam family "Eukaryotic small subunit ribosomal RNA", at positions 569 to 1083 of the family's 1831-position model. The record is from RNAcentral. Lineage: Eukaryota; Fungi; Glomeromycota; Glomeromycetes; Entrophosporales; Entrophosporaceae.